CCGCCAGCCCAGCACCACUGCACAGGAUGGUCGAAUCUACACCGGUGUUGGCAGACAAGAUGGUUGACUCAACGCGUCAGCCGUUCCUCAAAGCCCGGAGGACGUUCCCGAGCAGGCCGCUGCCGUCCAGGAGGACGUUCCCGAGCAGGCCGCUGCCGUCCAGGAGGACGUUCCCGAGCAGGCCGCUGCCGUCCAGGAGGACGUUCCCGAGCAGGCCGCUGCCGUCCAGGAGGACGUGUCCAAGGUUCCCGAAGCGGUGCCCGAUGUGGUUCUGGAGGUCGAGGCGGUGGCCGAUGCCGUUCCGCAGGUCGAGGCGGUGCCCGAUGUUGUUCCAGAGACCGAGGUGGUGCCCGAGUUGGUUCCAGAGACCGAGGCGGUGCCCGAUGCGCAGGCCGAGGUCGUUCCUGAGGUGGUGCCCGAUGCAGAGGCCGUUCCCGAGGCGGGGUCCUUGUCCAAUGCCGUUCCUGAGGCCGUUCCUGAGGCCGUUCCUGAGGCCAUUCCCGAGGCGGUGCCCGAUGCUGUUCCGGAGGCCGAUGCGGGGCCCGAGAUGGUUCCGGAGGCGAUACCCGUGUCCAAGGCCGUUCCCGAGGCGGUGCCCUUGUCUGAGGCCGUUCCCAAUGCCGUGACCUGGCCAUCGCCACAGCCUGCUCCUUACUGGCUCCCCGAUUGGCAGGUUCCGUUCGGGCCACUUAAAUGGCGAAUUCCUCCCUGGCCGUCGGCACAACGAGAAUGGACUGAUCCACCGUGGCCACCUGAACUGCCUGGCCCCUCGUGGUCCCCUGAACUUUCGGGUCCACCGUGGCCACCUGAACUGCCUGGUCCCUCGUGGUCCCCUGAACUUUCGGGUCCACCAUGGCCCCCUGAUCUGACCAAGCCACCUGGGCUACCAGGGGAGCCAUCGCUGCCGGUCCCAGUUCCCCUACACGGGCCUGGCCCGCCAUCCCUCCCCCUGUUCUGCCUCCACCAGUCCACCUCCCUCCUGGUCUCUUUGUUUUGUGUUUAUUGUGUUCUGAGGAGCAUCUGGAAGCUGCUCCUUAGAGGGGGGGUAGUGUCACGGUGUCUGUUCUGUGUCUCCCUGGGUGGCCACUAGAGGUCUCACUUCCCCUGAUUGUCACCUUCUUCAGAACUACAUUUCCCACUAGCCUUAUCUGUUCAUCACUGUUCAUUGUGUUCAGCUGUCACCACUUACCUUGUUUGCACCUGUCUAUAAAUACCCUGGUUGUUUCUGUCAUUGUUACGGAG
This is a long non-coding RNA of Cyprinus carpio carpio, 1242 nucleotides long. Lineage: Eukaryota; Metazoa; Chordata; Actinopteri; Cypriniformes; Cyprinidae. The record is from Ensembl.